Long non-coding RNA from Mus musculus (house mouse), 8802 nucleotides. RefSeq annotates it as predicted gene, 36101. NCBI's taxonomy places the organism in Eukaryota, Metazoa, Chordata, Mammalia, Rodentia, Muridae. The transcript is spliced from 6 exons. The record is from RefSeq and is a predicted model, not a curated record.
UCCACUGCUAGUGAGGCCCUCUCCUUCCCACAGUUCCCCUUUUAACAAGGUGAGUGCCCCCCUUCUUUCCCCAGUCCUUAUCCUACUGUAAGACUUACAGAAACUUCCCUUGUUUGGUCCUGUCCACGCUAAUUAAAAUGGGAAAUGUUAAAAUCCAUCCAAGUAAGAGAUAAGACACACACAAAGAAGGAUUCCAAAUGAGUAGUAAAAUGAACUCAGAUAUCGAGAAUGUGUGGGGAAAACUGAGUGCUGGACACACACGUGGGAGAAUUCCAGUGAGGGACAGACACAAGCGUGCCACCAAGAGAACCUGGGCAUCAGAGAUCAGACAGGCCCUGACUGUGAGAAGUUUGGCUUUUCAGAAAUGUCCACUGUCCACUCGUCAAACAACCACAAGCCACUCAUGUACCCGAUGCCAGGCGCCCGGUGAAAGGGAGACCCUAGGCUGACUCCGUGACAUGGCUACUGAACAGUGCCAGGGGAAGCAGCUGUGUUGUUUGCAAAUGUCUCUGGUGUGUGGUGACUUUGAUGUCUUCAGGUGUGUAUACCCCAGAGUGGUUUGGCUAGACCAUAUGGAGAUGCUAUUUUUACUUUUUUUUUUUUUUUGAGAAAAGUUAUUUCUAUAGCUGGAGCUAUAGAACUUUUAUAACACUCUCUCAAGACAAGAUGCUCAAAGACAGGCUUUGUGCUGGAUGUAAAUUCACACAGCACCAGAGCCAUAAGUCACAGAUCUUCCCUACCAGGUCAGAUGAAUCUCAAAGCUGUUUGCUAUUUCAAUAUUGGAAAAACUUUUGUAGGUUACAUUUUUUAAAAGUCUAUAAAAUGGGGAAGGGUUAUUUGAUUAUCAGAGCGAAUUUUGCUGUUGUUGUUGUUGUUGUUGUUGUUGUUGUUGUUGUUGUUGUUUUUUAAGAGGCAACAGGAAUCAAAACAGGAAGCACGGGAAAAGCGGUUGGUCCUGCAGAAAUCAAGGGUGAGAAUUAUUAUUUACUUCCAUCAGAACUUCUCUUUACUCAACAGACAAAAGGCAAGGCUUUGUUUCACAUGCAAGGAACGUUGGACAAGCGGAAGUUCACCCAUUUCAGAGAUGCAGUUUGCAUCGUGGUAUCAUGGCAGCACAAGAGGUGUUGUGCUGAAUGGUUGUAGGGAGUCUGUCUGUCCAUCUUUCAGGCGAGAAGAAGGAUGAAGCUCUGAACCCUGGCCAGCCUUGCCCGCCCCUCCAAAUCUGCUAAGACGAUGCUCUUCACUAGAAAAAUCCCUCCACACUGGCAUGCCUCACUGUUCACAGUAAGGAGAGGAUUAAACAUGGAAGAGAAGGCAGGUGUUGAGUACCGCACCAGCUUGUCAAGAAACAAAGGAGACGACAUGAGGUCCCUAAGAGUUUUCAGACAGCAGAAUUACUGUGUGGUGCCAUCCAGAGAAUGCGAAAUGCUGUGUGUGCCUGCUCUUUCUCUCCUACUCAACUACUGAAGAAGCGCACGUGAACUUGGAGGUGGGAAGAAAUUCCAGUCGUGGGUUGCUCAGUUGGUGGGCAGAUUUCAAGGAUGGAGAACCCGCACUGCGUGUCUGGCUGGAGGCAGAGAGGAGAGGAAGCUCCCAGAGACCCUGUGCCUCAACACGGUGUGGGAAAAGGUAGGUGAAGCACGGCCAGGAAAAGAAAGAACAGCUGAAAAGGGUGAGAUGGGAAGGAGAGAACCAACUCCCGGAAGUGGGCUGCUUGCCUCCAAGCGCAUGCUCACAUUCGUACCCGUCCAGAAAAAUAAGUGUGAAUAAACAUUUGAUGGAAGGGCAGAAGAAUACUUUUGAGAGUCGGAUUUUCUGUUUGACGUUUGUAGUUAUGCAAAGAAAAUGUCGCUGGGGCAUUUUAGUAUAAGGGGCCAUCCUACCAAAGGAUUGGAGCCUCAGUGAUUGGAGGGUCUACUUCUAGAAGGAUUCCCAUUCCCAGGCUUUUCAAAAUGGCAUCAUUAGUGGAGACAUCUCAUCAUGUUCUAAAAUCUAUGAAGAGAAAGGACUGAAAUCCUAGGAGCUCUUGUGUGGCUUUGUGUCUCUGUUGAGGUGAUGCCCCGCUGGUGGCCUUUGGCCUGUGCCUCACCCACCACCCUGUAUUGUGUAUUGGAGGGAGUUGGGGGAGGGUGACUGUGGCGAGGGUGAAUCAUGACAUGGUGAGCAUACACGGAGGGGGAUUUUAAUGAGACAGCAUAGCGCUGAAAUAAUGUAUAUGCUAUUGACAUGUCUGUCUUACAUUAGAUACCUUUUUCUUUGAAUUAAAAGUAAUAUGAUGCAGUCUAUUAUCACUCUUAAAAGAAAAGGCAAACUUUCAUACGUAGGAAUUUAUUCAUUAGAUUAUCAUGUGUGUGAGAAAGAAUGUCUGUAUAUGUGCCUCGUGUGGGUGCAUUUGGGUGUGUCUAUGUGUGUGUAGACAUGUGGAUUUGUGUGCAAGUGGAGAUCAGAGGCCAAGUUCAAGUGCUAUUCCUCAGAUUCUGUCCACCUCUUUUGGAGAUAGUCACUCACUGACCUGACGUUGGCCAAUCGUCCAAGCCAACUGGCCAGCAAGCCUCCUCCAAAUCCUCCUGAUUCUGCAACCGGAGCUCUGAGAUAGCAUGGCCGUGCCACCAGACCCAGCCUCUUUGCAAGAGUUUUAGCAGUCAAAUCUGACAUUCCUUGGCUGCUGUCCAUCAACUAUUUUGAGACAGGUCUCAAAUUGACUGGAGCGUGGUAUGUAGGUAAGUAGGCUGAGCUAGUUUGCCACCAAGCCCCAGGGAUCCACCUGCCUUUGCCUUCCCGUUGUAUCCUAUGGAAGAGUCAAUGAAAUUUGUUCUCUGCAAGAAAAAGCCUUGCUACUCCAGAGUGUCUAUUUCUGGGAUGUUUCUUAGCUCCAGGUAAGGCUUCUGUCUACAGGAAAUCCCUUCUGACCAGACUUUAUCUUCCAUCCUCAGUUCAUUAAAAUACACGCAAUUCCUCCUUACUUCCUUGUUAUACUGCUGAUGUUCAUUUUAUUUCUGUUCUGUGGACCUAUGUGGGAAGUUGGUGAAGAACAAUACAAGGAUGGAGAAGCAAAGAGAGAUGUCGUUUUAGUCACCCAGAGCUACAUAAUUCAAAUCAAUCCCAAAUGGUAAAAGGAAGAAACAAGGGCUGAAUGGAAGGACCCAGUAAGUCCUCUUGGAAGAACAAAUGCACAGAAGGGAUAUUUCUAUACAGAAGCAUUCAUAAUCUACCCAGGCAUUCAGACAGGUAUGUAAUUAAGUAUGGGACCAGAAGACUGUGCUUUAAGAAGCCGGUGGGAGUAGAAAUUGCUAUUAAGUGGGAAAGUUCCCACGAAAAACUGCUGUUUUAAAUCACAAGGGAAGGAAAAGAUUUAGCACAAGACUGGAGGAAAAGCUGCAGAAACACUGUCGGAAGGAAGAAUGAGCAUGUGAGGACAAAGUGUUCUGUAGCCUUGAAUCAGUAGAGACCAGGUUCAAUGUCAAAAGGAUGCUAGAACCAAAGGAGAGGAGGAGAGUGAGCCUUGAGUCCUGAGCCCUGUCUUACUUACUGAGACCCAGGAAAUUCAUCUUGUCUUUCCAGAUAUGAAAUGAAUAAAUGUAACGGUUGGGUUCCUAUACCUUACCCAGGUCUAAAGAAAUCCAAUGAGUCCAGACUGAAGUUGGUUAUCCUAUACACAUAUGAAUGUUUUUUUUUUCAAUCUUAAAAUUUUAAAUUUAUUUGUUCAAAUCACAUAGGAAAGAGGAGUUCACGUGGAUUUAAUAGGACAAGGGCCAGUUCUGUCCUUGUGGCUACAUAGAUCCUGAGACUCAAACUCAAGGCAUCAAGCAGAACAGCAAGCAUCUUUUCCAUGAGUCAUCUUCCUUUCCCCAUCUUCUUUGCCUUUGAUUUAUAGUGAUAGUUUUCGCCAAUGCUACUGCCACCUCUGAUUACAAUAUAUGUCUCUUCUCUCAGUAUAUGUUAUAGCAAACAAACAUCCAAAAUAGCUAAAUAUUUGAGAUGGUGUUAUGGGGCUCCCUAGAGAAAGUACCUAAACAGAAAUCAGUUAGCUCAAGGCUGCCUAUGACUGCUUCAGCUGUUUGAACUCUUUCUUUUCUUCCCACAAUUCCCAAACAAGUGGCACCUAGUAGUUUCAUCUAUUGGUGCUAUUUUAGCCAAAUAGCAUAGGAUAGAUAGCUUAUAAACAAGAGAUAUUUAUCUCAUGUACCUCAGCAGGUUGGAAAAAUCCAAAAUAAAGGCACCCAUUAUCAGGUUCAAAGUCUGGUGAGAGCACCGCCUUUGUUUCCAAGUUAGUGCCUUGGUAUUGGGUCCUCAGAGGAAAGAAGCUUGGAAUCCUCAUGAAGGAGAAGCAAUAGAAGGGGACUGGUUAGUUCCUACUAGAUCAUGGAUAGACCCAUUAAACUCCUUCAAUGAAGACUCUACACUCGUGACUUAGUCAACUCCUAAGGAAAAUACCUCUUAAUAGCAUCACGUAUGAGGAGCCAUGCACGGGUCACAGUGUCUGCUUCUAAGUUCUCCAACUGCAGCAUGAACUUGUGAGAGGAAAUGGGUCACUGAGGUGAGAUUUGAGAUUUCAGGAGCCCACACCAGACCAGUGUCUUUCAGUCUGCCUGAAGAUCAGGAUGUACCUCUCAACUACUGCCCCAGCAUAAUACCUAUCCAAUUCCUACCACAGUGGUAAUAGAAUAAACCUCUGAAACUGUAAGCAAGCCUCCGGGAAAAUGUUUCCUUUUAGAAGUUGCCUUGGUCAUGGCACCUCGUCAUAGCAGUAAUAGUGACUGAGAUAGUCCUUAAACUCAAAAUCAUUUCUAUUACCACGCACUUGACUGGAGUCUUCUUGGAGACAGUCUGCUGGCCACCUUGUCAUUGUUCCCUGUGAGCACUAUGGCAUUCUGUUCUUUCUGCCUUUGCUUGGCUUUAUGCUAGCAUACAGAAUGAUGAAUGCUCAACUGGCAUAGUCAUUCAUCUUUCUCUUUUCCUCCUCCAGACUCCUCUCCUUCCCACCCCCUGUUCCCUCUCUCUCCUCAGUAGUGCCCUUGCUUUCCACCAAUAUGUCACAUAUAUUCUAUCACCUCUCUCUCUUAUCCCUCUACACUUCCUUAAGACUUCCUUUCCUUCUCUUAUUGUCCCCUUUCUAGUUUUAUGACCAAUACUCAACCACACCACACAUAUACACAAAAACUAAGAUCUAGGAUCCUAAUAUGAGAGAAAACUUUCUGGUUCUCGAAUUAGUGUUUCUUGGUGUUUGCCCAGAGGUGAGCCUAGAAGGACUUAAGAUAGAUAGUUUUUCUUGUGGAGAUUCUUUGUUUGGACUCAUAUUUGUGGGGCAGAAAUAUAGUCCAGGCUAAGAUGGCACAUUUAGGUUGAGUAUCAACCCAAAAGACAAUAUUUACUGACCAGAAAGCAUGGCUGUUCUCACCAUGACCAUCAUUUGUUGGGGAUUGGUUCUAAUGCUUUGUCUUGAUUUGGCCCCCAAAAUCACAUAGGAAUCUGCAUGUCCAGAUGCUGAGGGCCCCCAGUUGGUUUUUGAUUGAUCAAUAAAGAGCUAAUGGCUAAUGGCUGGGCAGAGUGAAAGAGAUGGGACUUUUAGGAUUCCUGCACAAGAAGUGCAGGAGAGAAGGAGAAGGGAUCCCACCAUGACAGAAUCACCAUGAUGGGGAAUCAGAGGGAUCAGACUUAAAAGCGCACUGAUAUGUAAGAGUCUGGAAAAGGGACUCCAGGGGCCACUCCCCCAAUUAGGUCUGGGGUAACAGAGAUCAAAUAUAGAUUUAGAAAGUAUUAACUCAGGAAUACCAGAGGUGAGUGUGUGCUAGCUGUGGAGAGGUUUGGAAGUGCCCAACCGUUGAGCUAGUAAGGCAGAUUAAAAAUAAUGCUACAUGUGGAUGUCUUUCAUUCGUUAAUACAGAACCCUUGGCCAAGCAGACUAACUAUUCACCACAACAGAUGGCACGCAACAUGGUAGGCAAGAACUCACCAUUAAAAAUUACUUAGAGAUUCUCAGAUGGAAUAUACACAUACACAUGUUGUGAUGUAAGAUUAGGAGUGGGGGAUAAUUGGCUUCUUAGCAGGCUACAGAUUUUGCCUGAGCCACUUGGGAAUUUCUUCCAGCAGUUUGGGACUAUACAAACAGUUUGGGCUCAGAGGCACUGGGAGCCCCUGCUGUGCAAAGAGACAGGCUGCUCAGAAGUCCAAGAGAGACAAACAGUAGAAGCUGCCUGCCUCUGGAAACCAGAUGAAGAAUAGAGAUGAAUGAAAUUUGAUUUAAUUGUUUUUAAGAAUAGAAGGGGGUAUAAUCAUAAUAGCUUACGUGGUUUUAAGUAUACAUGGAAUAAAGAAAUACAGGCCUUUGAUCUCAAUGUAGGAAACAAAGUCACACAGAUAGAAGGGAGAUUGAAUGAAAAAUAAAUGCUUUAAAACCAGGGGAAAUACUGGAAUUCUUUUGAACGUGGUCUACAUGGGAAUUCUGGGAUUGUUCAGCCUGUUAUGACCAAUUUAGAUCUGGGAAAUAGGUUUAUACAGUAAGUAGAAGGGAAUUUGAUAAAAGUUAAAUACAUAGAUGAAUAAAUAAUUGAGGCUUUUGAUUUUAAAUUAUAGGUCAAAGAGCAGAGGAUAAGUGGAAAACCCUUAUCCCAGACAGAUAGUAGAAACUUACAUUAAUUCAAGUUAUAUAAAGAGAAGUGGGACAUAUAUACCAACAGAUAGAUUAAUCUCCAUAGAAAGGAGAAUGUAAGUAUACAGAUGAAUAAAUAACUUAGGCCUUGAUCUCAUAUAGGUCAGGGCAGGAGAUGGUAGGGAAACACUAUCUCAACAGAUAAUAAUAUUUGUUUAGAUUUUUUAAUUGCCUCAAAUUGUUUUAAUUAUCAAAUUGCAUGUGGUUAUGAGUUUGGUGGUUAUAUUAAAAUUCCUCUGGGAGAGAGGUCAAGCUAUUAAAUUAAUCCAAUAUAUACCUUUAAUGAUUUCCGGUUACUGGACCAAAGAUAUACUGUUUUGGGAGAGGCUCUGUAUUGUUGUUGUUGUUGUUGUUGUUGUUGUUGUUGUUGUUGUUGUUUUGACAGAAAAGGAGAAAAGGCUUUGGAUCCCUUCCAGAGUGAUAUGGAUCAUAUUUGACAGGGGAAGACCCUCUAAAGAUCUUGGCUACAGAAAAAAAUUCAAAAUAUUCAAACAGGACAGAAUUCAACACUGGCAAUAUUCGCUGGGCUUGGAGAGCAAGAUUAACAACUAGCAAUCUAUCAUCUUAUAAACUGGCAGUUCCACACAACUGACUCUUUCCCAUUAGCUUCUCCAACACGAGAGGUGCUCCACAGACGGGGAACAAUGCACAUCUCUUGCCAUUGUUAGCAGCUUUUCAUCUUGUUGCAGUGGAGGCUGGGAGAGGCUGAAGAGUUAAUUUUAAUAAGACCAAUCAGCUCAUCUUGACAAUGGAGGGGAAGGAAAGGGGACAGGUAGAUGACUGUAUGUUUUGACAUUGGACCAUUAACAUGCAAAUCACAUGCAAAAUCAUAUGCUAACAACUUUGAGCCUUUGUUUGUGGUUGGACACUUUUCUCCCCCAAACGGACUAAAGCUCUGAUGCAAUUCUACACGGGAAGGCACUUUGUUAGACAUCUCAUGGGCUCAAAGACAAAUAGGAGAUGGUCUCUGAACAGUUGUCCUGACCUGUUUGGGAGAGCCAGGAUGCCUUUUGAUCUCACCUCAUUGCCUGUUCCUUCAAAAGAGAGCGUGAAGUGUGGCAGAGAACAGGAGUCUACAUAAGGCCCAGUGAUUAGGACGAAUGAGAGUGUAGGACAGCCUACACAGACAGCGUCCUUCAUGUCACCCAGAGACUGCUGCAGAGCUCCCAGGGACGAGCCGCAUUAAUUAUGGACUAAUGACGCAUUUGCAUGCACAUUUUUAAAAGCAGUAGUGAACAUAGCCCUAGUAAUUGAGGAUGAGUGAGGUAAGCUGCAUUAAAAUGCUCUGCUGAAUCUCAUCUCAUCCUUUUUUUUUUAAAGACCUCUGUCACCUUGGCACUCAGCAGCAUACAUGGGCAUCCACGCAGUCUGGAGCUUUAUGGUGGCUCUCUAUAGAUCUGGUCACUUUGGCCACCCACUUGAAACUGGUUUCCCUCUCUGCAACCGCUCACAAUCACAAAUGCAAGAUUCUGUAAGGGGUAAAAAUGCAAUAGGCUGACUUUUGGCAUAAGUAGGGAGAUGAUAUGAAACAGAAGGAAUCUUGAUGUUAGGAGAUAAGAAUCACAUAAUGAUACAGCCAUUCACAGUCUAGUACAGUCAAGUAUGAGUCUGAGUGACUCAGAAAUCACAGCCCAAAAGAUCAAUACGGGAAAAGGACUGGUCUCUAUGCAUGGAGCCAAGGAGAUCUCCAAACCACCGUGAUCUCAAAGUACACAGGUGAGCCUCCUCCGAAGAGGGCAUAGGCCCAAGUGAAGCCAUGCAUCCUGGACUCAGGGAUUUGGCCAGCCAUCACGUGGAAGAUAAAUGGCUGUGCAGGAAGUCCUUUCUGCAGAAUACUUUGGUGUUCUAGGCUGAUAAGAAAAUUGAUGUUGUGCGAAUCUUGAUGUGUAUCCUUCCUCUUUGUCUCUCCGCCCUUUCCUCCCCUCUCCCUCCUCUCCCUCUUUUUUCUCUCUUCCUUCCACACUCAUAACUAUGCAUACUCAUAAUUUUGGCAUCAAUGAUGCAUUUGAAGCAAAGGUGAACGUUGGCCCGUAGCCCAUUAGGGCCAUAGCUCUCACCCAGACGUCAUGCUCCUGUAACUCCUUGAAAGCACAACUUUUAAAAAAAUAAAAGCCUUCCUCUUGUGGAAUGAAAUAAAAUAUCAUUUAAGGAAA